Molecule: ribosomal RNA, 440 nt
Filed under: uncultured bacterium
Lineage: Bacteria
Description: partial 16S ribosomal RNA
Rfam family: Bacterial small subunit ribosomal RNA
Source: RNAcentral
CCUACGGGUGGCUGCAGUGGGGAAUAUUGGACAAUGGGGGCAACCCUGAUGCAGCGAAGCCGCGUGAGUGAAGACGUAUUUCGGUAUGUAAAGCUCUAUCAGCAGGGAAGAAAAUGACGCUACGUGUUUCAGUAGCCCCGGCUAAAGACGUGCCAGCAGCCGCGGUAACACGGAGGGGGCCACCGUUAUCCGGAUUUACUGGGGGUAAAGGGAGCGUAGACGGCAGCACAAGUCUGGAGUGAAAUGCCGGGGCUUAACCCCGGAACUGCCGUGGAAACUGGGCAGCUAGAGUGCAGGAGAGGUAAGUGGAAUUCGUGGUGUAGCGGUGAAAUGCGUAGAUAUUAGGAAGAACACCGAUUGCGAAGGCAGCUUACUGGACUGUAACUGACGUUGAGGCACGAAAGCGUGGGGAGCGAACAGGAUUAGAUACCCCUGUAGUC